This 253-nucleotide ribosomal RNA is filed under the name uncultured prokaryote. RNAcentral describes it as "partial 16S ribosomal RNA". It matches the Rfam family "Bacterial small subunit ribosomal RNA", at positions 525 to 777 of the family's 1533-position model. The record is from RNAcentral.
ACAGAGGGUGCGAGCGUUGUCCGGAAUCACUGGGCGUAAAGGGCGUGUAGGCGGCUUGGUAAGCCGCGUGUGAAAUCCCGGGGCUCAACCCCGGAAUGGCACGCGGGACUGCCUGGCUUGAGCAUGGUAGAGGCGAGUGGAAUUCCUGGUGUAGCGGUGGAGUGCGUAGAGAUCAGGAAGAACACCGGUGGCGAAGGCGGCUCGCUGGGCCAUUGCUGACGCUGAGGCGCGAAAGCGUGGGGAGCAAACAGGA